RNAcentral lists this long non-coding RNA (213 nucleotides) under Mytilus galloprovincialis (Mediterranean mussel). Lineage: Eukaryota; Metazoa; Mollusca; Bivalvia; Mytilida; Mytilidae. The record is from RNAcentral.
AUGGAAUUUUCCUAUUUUGUAUUUUAGCCGGAAAAAACGUACGGUGACCCUAUCUUUUCUUUUGAUAUUCUCAAAGCAGUGUCUGAAAGCUAUCUUUUCCUGAAGUAUUUAACAAUUCUAUUAUUUUGUUUAGUUUCUAAUCACAAAAUGGUAUUUUUUCCUGUAUAAUCCAUACAAAAUGUGUCAUUUUGUCCCGUCCUGUAGCUUGAGAAA